Molecule: long non-coding RNA, 837 nt
Filed under: Triticum aestivum (bread wheat)
Lineage: Eukaryota; Viridiplantae; Streptophyta; Magnoliopsida; Poales; Poaceae
Description: long non-coding RNA (TAES_LNC019687)
Source: RNAcentral
AAAAUCAAAAUAAGGGUGCAAACAUAAAAGCAAUUCAAAUAAAGUAGCAUGGAUCCUAUCUCAGAUAUUUCCCAAGGCAAACCAUAUUUCAAUAUCCCAAAGAGAAAGAUUAGAAAUGUGUCAUCACAAGAAAAUUGCUCAGUGGAUGCAUGGCAGCAUACUAUCAGCAAACAUACCCAGCAACCUGAGAUUAAUACUCACAAUUCAAGAGCUUCCAUGAAAGUUGUGAAUUUAUACAAACAGAAAGGUAUAUAGGACUUGAUACUAACUUAGAAUCACAAGAUUCAACCGAUUUUGUAAAGGAAAUGGCAAAGAACCAUGACCUAUCAUCACCUGAGGGUUCUUCCCGUAAGUAGAACAACGUUCACGCUUAGCAUGCUUAUUUCAGAAAGCUAUCUCCGCUAGUAGUUGGUAGUAAGUUAAGAACCAAUAGACUGCAUUAAAGAUACUUGAAAAAAGGGCACACAUUAGGUGUUUUGAAUCUUGGGUAAAAAUGGUAGUACGAACAAUAAUAAUGGAGAUAAUCAUCUUUCGUAUACAGGUACAUUCAAAACACAUAUAGUAUAGUGGGAUAGAAAUAUUGAGAAACAACAACAGCAAAGGCAAACUACAUCUAUGACCAUGAGCCAUAAUAGGGAAACCCAUCAGGCAAAUAUAUUGUUUGUAAGGGCCUAUCCUGCAAUUUAAAAGACAUGUAAUGAAGAAAACAGAUGCUGAAAGACUAACCUCAACCAGCGUCAUGGGCUGCGGAAAUAGCUGUUAAUCAGCCAAAGGAGCAAGGUGGAGCAAUCGAGCGAAAGGGAGGGAGGUCCACACAUUUGCAGAUGAACCAGUGAC